RNAcentral lists this ribosomal RNA (496 nucleotides) under uncultured bacterium. RNAcentral describes it as "partial 16S ribosomal RNA". It matches the Rfam family "Bacterial small subunit ribosomal RNA", at positions 28 to 506 of the family's 1533-position model. The record is from RNAcentral.
GAUGAACGCUGGCGGCGUGCCUAAUACAUGCAAGUCGAGCGAACAGAUGAGGAGCUUGCUCCUCUGACGUUAGCGGCGGACGGGUGAGUAACACGUGGAUAACCUACCUAUAAGACUGGGAUAACUUCGGGAAACCGGAGCUAAUACCGGAUAAUAUAUUGAACCGCAUGGUUCAAUAGUGAAAGACGGUUUUGCUGUCACUUAUAGAUCGAUCCGCGCCGCAUUAGCUAGUUGGUAAGGUAACGGCUUACCAAGGCAACGAUGCGUAGCCGACCUGAGAGGGUGAUCGGCCACACUGGAACUGAGACACGGUCCAGACUCCUACGGGAGGCAGCAGUAGGGAAUCUUCCGCAAUGGGCGAAAGCCUGACGGAGCAACGCCGCGUGAGUGAUGAAGGUCUUCGGAUCGUAAAACUCUGUUAUUAGGGAAGAACAAAUGUGUAAGUAACUAUGCACGUCUUGACGGUACCUAAUCAGAAAGCCACGGCUAACUACGU